CUUGUUUGUUUCUUUGGGUUAAUUGGAACCAUGCCAUUACAACUUCAGCUAUUUGGAAAUAUGCCAUUACAAUUAGCAAAACCGGCUGGGUGCCAUCGCAAUUUCUUCCAAAUUGGAACCAUGCCAUUAUAUACGUCUGAAUUGCCAUCCAUGCCAUUUGUCCUCGCACGUAUUUCCGUAUGGACGCUUGUGCCCCUGGCUGAGACGAUACAAGCCAACCAUCCCGGUCCGGCUCAACCAUCUCUGUUCCCCAUUCCCUAUUCCCCAUUGUCUGCAAACCCUAGCUCGCCGACGGCGAUCUCGACGGCGAUCGGUGCAGCGCCGGCGACGACGACGGGGGCUAGGGAUACGGCGCCGGCGACGACGACGGGGGCUAGGGAUACGGCGGCGGCUUUACCGAUAGCUUCUCCCGGCGUAGACGGAUCAACGCGGCAACGAGUUUGGAGGCGAGCUAUACCAGUGGCAGUGGUCGCUCUGCAAUUUCGAGAAGGUGCAGAGUCCCAUCGGUGGCUCCUUCAAUCCCAGAGCUGAAAUGUGCUUGUGGGCAUGCCGCUGCGGUGCAGACAUCGAACACACCAAGGAAUCCAAGGCGGCGGUGGCUGCAGUGUCCUGGGGAGAAUUGUAGAUGUGCCUUGUGGAUUUGGGAAGAUCUCAACGAAUACGUUGAGGAGAUGGUCGCUUACUGUCAUGCUGACGAGUACGACUAUCUUAGAGAGACAUGCGACAGUUUGCGCCAGUUUAUAGCAGAUCAAAGACAUGCAUAUCUCUCAGUUGUCAGCCUAGGCUGAGGCAAAAGAGUUGCAGUUGCAAGCCAAUUACGAAGCUUUGAAUCAGUCCAAGUUGGGGUGUGCAGACUUAAAGAAGAAAUUGGAGUGCGAGAAGGCUUGGACUCGCACAAUUGUGUCCAUGAUGAUCUUGUUCUAUGUGUUGUUAGUUGCUGUAAUGAUAAGGCAGGUUUAGGAGAUGUUCUGUGUGAUGUCUGGUGUGUGAAAUAUUGUGAUGUACCUUAGGUGUGUGAAAUCUGGUGUGUGUAUUUAUGUUUGUGCAAGUUGGGGAAUGCAAUGCAAGGGCUAUAUUUUGGAAUC
Non-coding RNA from Oryza sativa Japonica Group (Japanese rice), 1085 nucleotides. Lineage: Eukaryota; Viridiplantae; Streptophyta; Magnoliopsida; Poales; Poaceae. The record is from RefSeq and is a predicted model, not a curated record.